Molecule: long non-coding RNA, 1859 nt
Organism: Cercocebus atys (sooty mangabey)
Lineage: Eukaryota; Metazoa; Chordata; Mammalia; Primates; Cercopithecidae
Exons: 3
Source: RefSeq, a predicted model, not a curated record
AAGAAAAAAAAUUCCAUCAGUGGGUAUCAGACUUAGUCACUGUCAAAGUCACACUGGCUACUGUCUUAUUAUUUGUAUUCUUUGUUACAGAAAUUGUAAUUUGAUGAACUUUAAUUAUGGUGUCUUGAUAUUUCCAGUGCUUCCCACUCUGGGUAAGUCAUGAAAAUAAUGGUAACAUUUGUGUUGUUAUUCGUUAUUUGUAUUCUUUGUUACAGAAAUUGUAAUUUGAUGAACUUUAAUUAUGGUGUCUUGAUAUUUCCAGUGUUUCCCACUCUGGGUAGAUACCCAGGAGUGGGAUUGCUGGAUUAAAUGGGAUGGAAGCUGGUGAGCUGUUAAUUCCUAUAGCAUCUAUUUUAUUAACAACCCAAAAAUAUAAUAGCUCUGUUCUCAAAAAGGGUGUUUGAUAUUCCGAAUAUUCAGUGUAAUCCUCUGAGGCAUGGAGAAGUUCCUAAAACCUGAUUAAACAAGGUAAUAUGUUAUAUGAAAGUUUUCUACAUGUAAUUUGUUAUAUUUUUAUUAAAUACAAUCUAAUUUCUGGUAAAUUGGAACCCAUGUAGUAAAGAGCCUAUUUAAUAGCCAAUACAUUUAUUUUUAUGAUAAUGAUGACAUAUUCUGGGAAGAGGAAGCAGGUGUUGAAAAUGUUUACCAUCAUUCUUGAUGCAUCCAUCUUUGGCAAUUAUGGACUCCAGAUUGAACAAUAUCUCUUUUUCAUUCUUCUCAACCAUCAAAAUAGUUUAAUAAUAUGUGGAAGACCUAGUAUUCAUUUGUAGUACUCAUGGUUUUGGAAAUUGCAAGACAAAAAUUUUGUUUUAUAAAUUUUGGUCCUGAUAGAGUUGUGUAAGGAAGUUACUAAAAUAGAAUUGAAAUAACAAAUGACAUUUGAAGCCCCUUCUUAUUCAGAGAGCCUAUGAUUAUAACUGAAUGGAGCCAAAGGUUAUCUUCAUUAGAUUCUAGAUAUACUUUCUUGUAAUUAUUAGCAUUUAAUUUAUGCAUAUAUUUUACUGAAAAACCCUGUGUAAAACAUGUUAGGUGACAUCAGUUAGAUGUUCAUUCCUUGGGUUUUCAUUGGACCUCCGUAGAUGCUUCAGUUCAGCAUUCAACCUUCAUGCCCUAGCCUACACCUCCUAUAACUACCCUAAUGUUCAUCGCACUCUGCAAGGGAUUGAUUAUAUUCUUCCCAAUUCUCUCUUUUCUCCCACACUUCCCCGGAAGUCUUCCCUGUCUUGAAAAAAGAAAAAAAAAAUAUAUAUAUAUAUAUUAAAAUAUAUAUUCAUUUCCAUUUGAAAUAGUCCUUCACUUAAAAAGAAACCCAAAGAACCAAUGUGCCAAUAAAUAAAAUAUAAUCAAGGCAUUCUUACUAAAAUUGCAUUAUUACAUUUUCUUUGUUCGUGAGUUUAUAUUGCCUAUUCUUAUUUGUAGCAGGUUGCAAAUUCUUUUCUUCAAUAUUAUAACUCAUUUCAGUCUUUUGUUAUCUUUGCAUUUAUGGUUACUGUAUUAGCUUUUGCUAAGUCAUAUUGUGAACAUGUAUAACCACUGAAAUCACAGUGGCCGGUAAUAACCAGCCUUUAUUUCUCUCUCAUGUACGUGUUGGCUGAAGACCAGCUUUGACUCUGUUCCAUGUGUUCUGCAUUUUGGGAUAAGGCUGAAGGAAAAGCUCCUAUUUUGGUCUUAUGGCAGGGGGGAAAGGGCAAUGUAAAGGCAAGUUUUAGCCAACUUGAUGUACUAUAAAAUGUCAUCUUUUUUACUUAGGGUUGCAUAUCUUCGAUUUAAUAUGUGGUCAACUAUUUCCCAUCUGUUCUGUUUUCUUUUUUUCUGUAGUAAAUUGUUUUUUUCUUGUUCUUUGCCAUAUUAUCUAAAGA